AUAGUUUAUUCCCACCUCCAGCAGCCCAUGAGAGAAAGUUUUAAUGAGUGUAAUGUCUGCUUGAGAUCUGCUGUACUUUCUUGACCCAUUUGGAUGUGGUGCUCCAGGACAUGAUUUAGUGGAAACAAAUGCUAAGGAUGAUAGUGCAGCUGCUGUGCACCUGUGUAAUCACUGACCUUGGUGGCAUAGUAGUUCCAUGUCAAGGAUAUGAGAAGGAAGUCUUGGAUCUUGCUGCUGAUGGAUUUGGAAUGAGCAGGGACCAUGGCAGUACUGACCACCCAACAUAAAAUAAAGCAGCGGCAUGAACAGGCA
This 312-nucleotide long non-coding RNA is filed under the name Numida meleagris (helmeted guineafowl). Its description in RNAcentral is "lncRNA (ENSNMEG00000010499.1)". Lineage: Eukaryota; Metazoa; Chordata; Aves; Galliformes; Numididae. The record is from RNAcentral.